AAACUGGAUUUAUUUAAAUCCAUCCCAUAUUUCUUAUUCUUUGCCAU
Molecule: non-coding RNA, 47 nt
Organism: Homo sapiens (human)
Lineage: Eukaryota; Metazoa; Chordata; Mammalia; Primates; Hominidae
Source: Rfam